This 468-nucleotide ribosomal RNA is filed under the name uncultured bacterium. RNAcentral's name for it is "partial 16S ribosomal RNA". It matches the Rfam family "Bacterial small subunit ribosomal RNA", at positions 28 to 507 of the family's 1533-position model. The record is from RNAcentral.
GACGAACGCUGGCGGCGUGCUUAACACAUGCAAGUCGAACGGAAAGGCCCUGCUUUUGUGGGGUGCUCGAGUGGCGAACGGGUGAGUAACACGUGAGUAACCUGCCCUUGACUUUGGGAUAACUUCAGGAAACUGGGGCUCAUACCGGAUAGGAGCUCCUGCUGCAUGGUGGGGGUUGGAAAGUUUCGGCGGUUGGGGCUGGACUCGCUGGUUACCAGCUUGUUAGUGUGGUAGUGGCUUACCAAGGGUGUGACGGAUAGCCGGCCUGAGAGGUGGACCGGCGACAUUGGGACUGAGAUACGGCGCAGAAGCGUACGGGAGGCAGCAGGGGGGAAUAUGGCAGAAUGGGGGGAAGCGUGAUGCGGAGACGCCGCGUGCGGGAUGACGGCCUUCGGGUUGUAAACAGAUUUCGACUGAGACGAAGCGAGAGUGACGGUAAUGGGUAAAGAAGCACCGGCUAACUACGUG